Molecule: long non-coding RNA, 1796 nt
Organism: Gasterosteus aculeatus aculeatus (three-spined stickleback)
Lineage: Eukaryota; Metazoa; Chordata; Actinopteri; Perciformes; Gasterosteidae
Source: Ensembl
GUCCUGGAUGUAGACUGGACCCGAUCCAUUCAGGUUAAAGACCAGUCCAGCUGCUGCAUUCUGGAUGAGCUGCAGAGGUCUAUCUAAUGAUGCUACGUGUACUCCUAUAAAUUUGCACAGAUCAUUCUUGGAACAUCUUCUUCAAGGUCAUUCAUUGCUGAUGCAGGCGACUGGGAUGACAAUAAAUCUGCAUCACAAUACCUGGAACCUGAAAUCAGAUCCGCUAAAUGGAAUUCACCCAUCAUUCACUUCAUCUUAUGGAGAGUGUUCCAGUGUCACACAAAUACACGGUACGUCAGUCACCACACAAGAGAAGUUGGCCGACCUGCAGGUACCGCAUCAAAACGGUGUCAAAAAGAACAUGAUGGAACCCAUAACGAGAUGUUCAUGUAGUGUAAACGGCAUACAACGAGCUGCACCAUAGGUGAGACAUUGUCCAACAUCUCAAGAGCGCACGUCUUGUUUCCCCUGCUUAGUAAUUAAUAGAAUGGUUGAUUAUUAACUCAACGCAGUCUAAUUGAGCAAACAAAAUGUUUUGUUUGUUUGGUGACCUCGGGUGAGAGAAACUGUAGCGCGCUCUUUACAUAGAUUCUGCAUCAGUAAUGGGGGCUGCAGGUGAUUGGUCCGAUAUCUGUGUCCAAAACAACUUUGUUCCUCUGACCCCCAGCAGACUCCAGCCGAGCAGAUAACUUGCGGGUUAUCGGAACAGAAUGGAUGCUAUUGACAAACUUUUGUCAGCAAGCUUUUUUAAUUAAAUUUCUCAGGCUGUGGAAGUGUAAAAUGUACAUCACUUCUGGCAGAGAAAAGAAAACUGGAUAAUGUGUAAGAUAAUGUUGCAUUGGACUGAAGUAAUUUGAGAUAAAACAACAGGCCUCAAGGCAAGACGUUAAAUAACUUCUGCAGUUUAAUGAGUUUGCAUGCCCCUUUGUCUACAAGUUUUAACUGACAUGUUCAAAGUAAUGCAAGUCUGGAACAACAACACAUGGUGCCUACAUUACCCACAAUGCAACUCAAAAGCUCAUUUGGAGAUAUCAGUCUGUUCUGCUUGUAUCAGCUAAUGACAUUACAAUCACGUCUUUCUUGCUCUAAAAAAACAUGUUUUUUUGCUUUGCUUUUCAAUCUUGUAGUCUCCAGACUCAACUAAGCAUUACUUCGUAAUUCCCACUGCUCCCCCUGAAGCCAGACAUGGCUUUGCACUUCUUUUCCACUUCUUUUUUCUAAAACAGAAACAGAAGAACAAGUUACUGCUGUUCCCCUUUAACCUUCUGAACCAGCAGCCGUAACAGCAUUUCAAUCUCUGGAUUAAUUAAUAAAAUGACUAGGAGGACAGCAGGCAUGAAAGUCAUGUAUUUGAAGCACCUGAGGUAAAUUAAUUUAUAUAUAACCAACCUGAAGGGCCGGUUGCGUUAAGGAGCACUACAGUUGCAUGAGAUGAAGAAUCUUUCUCAAAGAAGAAUUAUCAUUCUCCUCGGAUGCAGCUUUGGUCAGUUGUAUUAUUGUGAAAAUGAAGAAUAUGAUGGGAAUUAAGAAACAGACAAACACUAUUAUUAUAAAGCUUGUAUCUUUUAUAGUGGUGUGUGUGUGUGUGUGUGUUUAGGAAACCACAAUAAGAGUAGAUUUUAAAAGUAAAAUACAACUUAAUAUAAUGACAAAUAUGAACCAAGAGUAAUAUUGCAGCUCUCCUUUUAAUGUGUUGGUUUAUUUAUGACAUUGUUCAUAGUUUAUGACGUUAGAGGGUUGUUAAACUUGUUAAAUCCAUCAAGCAUCUUUCUCAUGAGCACACACACACACACACA